RNAcentral lists this ribosomal RNA (1394 nucleotides) under uncultured bacterium. RNAcentral's name for it is "bacterial SSU rRNA". It matches the Rfam family "Bacterial small subunit ribosomal RNA". The record is from RNAcentral.
UAGAGUUUGAUCCUGGCUCAGGAUGAACGCUAGCGGCAGGCUUAACACAUGCAAGUCGAGGGGCAGCGAGAUCAGUGCUUGCACUGAUUGUCGGCGACCGGCGCACGGGUGCGUAACGCGUAUGCAACCUACCCAUUACAGGGGGAUAACACUGAGAAAUCGGUACUAAUACCCCAUAACAUCCAGGGAGGCAUCUUCUUGGGUUGAAAACUCCGGUGGUAAUGGAUGGGCAUGCGUUGUAUUAGUUAGUUGGUGGGGUAACGGCUCACCAAGGCAACGAUACAUAGGGGGACUGAGAGGUUAACCCCCCACAUUGGUACUGAGACACGGACCAAACUCCUACGGGAGGCAGCAGUGAGGAAUAUUGGUCAAUGGACGCAAGUCUGAACCAGCCAUGCCGCGUGCAGGAAGACGGCUCUAUGAGUUGUAAACUGCUUUUGUACGAGGGUAAACGCAGAUACGCGUAUCUGUCUGAAAGUAUCGUACGAAUAAGGAUCGGCUAACUCCGUGCCAGCAGCCGCGGUAAUACGGAGGAUUCAAGCGUUAUCCGGAUUUAUUGGGUUUAAAGGGUGCGUAGGCGGUCGGAUAAGUUAGAGGUGAAAUCCCGGGGCUCAACUUCGGAAUUGCCUCUGAUACUGUUCGGCUAGAGAGUAGUUGCGGUAGGCGGAAUGUAUGGUGUAGCGGUGAAAUGCUUAGAGAUCAUACAGAACACCGAUUGCGAAGGCAGCUUACCAAGCUACUUCUGACGUUGAGGCACGAAAGCGUGGGGAGCAAACAGGAUUAGAUACCCUGGUAGUCCACGCAGUAAAACGAUGAUAACUCGUUGUCGGCGAUACAGUGUCGGUGACUAAGCGAAAGCGAUAAGUUAUCCACCUGGGGAGUACGUUCGCAAGAAUGAAACUCAAAGGAAUUGACGGGGGCCCGCACAAGCGGAGGAACAUGUGGUUUAAUUCGAUGAUACGCGAGGAACCUUACCCGGGCUUGAAAGUUAGUGACGGAUCUUGAAAGAGGUCUUCCCUUCGGGGCACGAAACUAGGUGCUGCAUGGUUGUCGUCAGCUCGUGCCGUGAGGUGUCGGGUUAAGUCCCAUAACGAGCGCAACCCCUACCGUUAGUUGCCAGCAGGUCAAGCUGGGCACUCUGACGGGACUGCCGGUGUAAGCCGAGAGGAAGGUGGGGAUGACGUCAAAUCAGCACGGCCCUUACGUCCGGGGCUACACACGUGUUACAAUGGCAGGUACAGAGGGCAGCUACCCAGCGAUGGGAUGCGAAUCUCGAAAGCCUGUCUCAGUUCGGAUUGGAGGCUGAAACCCGCCUCCAUGAAGUUGGAUUCGCUAGUAAUCGCGCAUCAGCCAUGGCGCGGUGAAUACGUUCCCGGGCCUUGCACACACCGCCC